UACGUAGGGGGCAAGCGUUGUCCGGAUUUAUUGGGCGUAAAGAGCGUGUAGGCGGCCAUACAGGUCCGUUGUGAAAACUGGAGGCUUAACCUCCAGACGUCGAUGGAAACCGUAUGGCUAGAGUCCGGAAGAGGAGAGUGGAAUUCCUGGUGUAGCGGUGAAAUGCGCAGAUAUCAGGAGGAACACCGAUGGCGAAGGCAGGUCUCUGGGCCACUACUGACGCUGAGGCGCGAAAGCUAGGGGAGCAAACAGG
RNAcentral lists this ribosomal RNA (253 nucleotides) under uncultured bacterium. Its description in RNAcentral is "partial 16S ribosomal RNA". It matches the Rfam family "Bacterial small subunit ribosomal RNA", at positions 524 to 776 of the family's 1533-position model. The record is from RNAcentral.